This 2899-nucleotide ribosomal RNA is filed under the name Shigella flexneri K-671. RNAcentral describes it as "23S ribosomal RNA". The record is from RNAcentral. Lineage: Bacteria; Pseudomonadati; Pseudomonadota; Gammaproteobacteria; Enterobacterales; Enterobacteriaceae.
AAGGUUAAGCCUCACGGUUCAUUAGUACCGGUUAGCUCAACGCAUCGCUGCGCUUACACACCCGGCCUAUCAACGUCGUCGUCUUCAACGUUCCUUCAGGACCCUUAAAGGGUCAGGGAGAACUCAUCUCGGGGCAAGUUUCGUGCUUAGAUGCUUUCAGCACUUAUCUCUUCCGCAUUUAGCUACCGGGCAGUGCCAUUGGCAUGACAACCCGAACACCAGUGAUGCGUCCACUCCGGUCCUCUCGUACUAGGAGCAGCCCCCCUCAGUUCUCCAGCGCCCACGGCAGAUAGGGACCGAACUGUCUCACGACGUUCUAAACCCAGCUCGCGUACCACUUUAAAUGGCGAACAGCCAUACCCUUGGGACCUACUUCAGCCCCAGGAUGUGAUGAGCCGACAUCGAGGUGCCAAACACCGCCGUCGAUAUGAACUCUUGGGCGGUAUCAGCCUGUUAUCCCCGGAGUACCUUUUAUCCGUUGAGCGAUGGCCCUUCCAUUCAGAACCACCGGAUCACUAUGACCUGCUUUCGCACCUGCUCGCGCCGUCACGCUCGCAGUCAAGCUGGCUUAUGCCAUUGCACUAACCUCCUGAUGUCCGACCAGGAUUAGCCAACCUUCGUGCUCCUCCGUUACUCUUUAGGAGGAGACCGCCCCAGUCAAACUACCCACCAGACACUGUCCGCAACCCGGAUCACGGGUCCACGUUAGAACAUCAAACAUUAAAGGGUGGUAUUUCAAGGUCGGCUCCAUGCAGACUGGCGUCCACACUUCAAAGCCUCCCACCUAUCCUACACAUCAAGGCUCAAUGUUCAGUGUCAAGCUAUAGUAAAGGUUCACGGGGUCUUUCCGUCUUGCCGCGGGUACACUGCAUCUUCACAGCGAGUUCAAUUUCACUGAGUCUCGGGUGGAGACAGCCUGGCCAUCAUUACGCCAUUCGUGCAGGUCGGAACUUACCCGACAAGGAAUUUCGCUACCUUAGGACCGUUAUAGUUACGGCCGCCGUUUACCGGGGCUUCGAUCAAGAGCUUCGCUUGCGCUAACCCCAUCAAUUAACCUUCCGGCACCGGGCAGGCGUCACACCGUAUACGUCCACUUUCGUGUUUGCACAGUGCUGUGUUUUUAAUAAACAGUUGCAGCCAGCUGGUAUCUUCGACUGAUUUCAGCUCCACGAGCAAGUCGCUUCACCUACGUAUCAGCGUGCCUUCUCCCGAAGUUACGGCACCAUUUUGCCUAGUUCCUUCACCCGAGUUCUCUCAAGCGCCUUGGUAUUCUCUACCUGACCACCUGUGUCGGUUUGGGGUACGAUUUGAUGUUACCUGAUGCUUAGAGGCUUUUCCUGGAAGCAGGGCAUUUGUUGCUUCAGCACCGUAGUGCCUCGUCAUCACGCCUCGGCCUUGAUUUUCCGGAUUUGCCUGGAAAACCAGCCUACACGCUUAAACCGGGACAACCGUCGCCCGGCCAACAUAGCCUUCUCCGUCCCCCCUUCGCAGUAACACCAAGUACAGGAAUAUUAACCUGUUUCCCAUCGACUACGCCUUUCGGCCUCGCCUUAGGGGUCGACUCACCCUGCCCCGAUUAACGUUGGACAGGAACCCUUGGUCUUCCGGCGAGCGGGCUUUUCACCCGCUUUAUCGUUACUUAUGUCAGCAUUCGCACUUCUGAUACCUCCAGCAUACCUCACAGCACACCUUCACAGGCUUACAGAACGCUCCCCUACCCAACAACGCAUAAGCGUCGCUGCCGCAGCUUCGGUGCAUGGUUUAGCCCCGUUACAUCUUCCGCGCAGGCCGACUCGACCAGUGAGCUAUUACGCUUUCUUUAAAUGAUGGCUGCUUCUAAGCCAACAUCCUGGCUGUCUGGGCCUUCCCACAUCGUUUCCCACUUAACCAUGACUUUGGGACCUUAGCUGGCGGUCUGGGUUGUUUCCCUCUUCACGACGGACGUUAGCACCCGCCGUGUGUCUCCCGUGAUAACAUUCUCCGGUAUUCGCAGUUUGCAUCGGGUUGGUAAGUCGGGAUGACCCCCUUGCCGAAACAGUGCUCUACCCCCGGAGAUGAAUUCACGAGGCGCUACCUAAAUAGCUUUCGGGGAGAACCAGCUAUCUCCCGGUUUGAUUGGCCUUUCACCCCCAGCCACAAGUCAUCCGCUAAUUUUUCAACAUUAGUCGGUUCGGUCCUCCAGUUAGUGUUACCCAACCUUCAACCUGCCCAUGGCUAGAUCACCGGGUUUCGGGUCUAUACCCUGCAACUUAACGCCCAGUUAAGACUCGGUUUCCCUUCGGCUCCCCUAUUCGGUUAACCUUGCUACAGAAUAUAAGUCGCUGACCCAUUAUACAAAAGGUACGCAGUCACACGCCUAAGCGUGCUCCCACUGCUUGUACGUACGCGGUUUCAGGUUCUUUUUCACUCCCCUCGCCGGGGUUCUUUUCGCCUUUCCUCACGGUACUGGUUCACUAUCGGUCAGUCAGGAGUAUUUAGCCUUGGAGGAUGGUCCCCCAUAUUCAGAUAGGAUACCACGUGUCCCGCCUACUCAUCGAGCUCACAGUAUGUGCAUUUUUGUGUACGGGGCUGUCACCCUGUAUCGCACGCCUUUCCAGACGCUUCCACUAACACACACACUGAUUCAGGCUCUGGGCUGCUCCCCGUUCGCUCGCCGCUACUGGGGGAAUCUCGGUUGAUUUCUUUUCCUCGGGGUACUUAGAUGUUUCAGUUCCCCCGGUUCGCCUCAUUAACCUAUGGAUUCAGUUAAUGAUAGUGUGACGAAUCACACUGGGUUUCCCCAUUCGGAAAUCGCCGGUUAUAACGGUUCAUAUCACCUUACCGACGCUUAUCGCAGAUUAGCACGUCCUUCAUCGCCUCUGACUGCCAGGGCAUCCACCGUGUACGCUUAGUCGCUUAA